GCGCUCGUAGCUCAAUUGGAUAGAGCAUCUGUCUACGGAACAGAAGGUUGGAGGUUCGAGUCCCCCCGAGCGCG
Molecule: transfer RNA, 74 nt
Filed under: Candidatus Omnitrophota bacterium
Lineage: Bacteria; Pseudomonadati; Candidatus Omnitrophota
Description: tRNA-Arg
Rfam family: tRNA
About the family: Transfer RNA (tRNA) molecules are approximately 80 nucleotides in length.
Source: RNAcentral